This 433-nucleotide ribosomal RNA is filed under the name uncultured bacterium. RNAcentral's name for it is "partial 16S ribosomal RNA". It matches the Rfam family "Bacterial small subunit ribosomal RNA", at positions 29 to 507 of the family's 1533-position model. The record is from RNAcentral.
AACGAACGCUGGCGGCAUGCCUAACACAUGCCAGUCGAACGAGACCUUCGGGUCUAGUGGCGCACGGGUGCGUAACGCGUGGGAACCUGCCCUUAGGUUCGGAAUAACUCCCCGAAAGGGGUGCUAAUACCGGAUAAUGUCCUCGGACCAAAGAUUUAUCGCCUUUGGAUGGGCCCGCGUUGGAUUAGCUAGUUGGUAGGGUAAAAGCCUACCAAGGCGACGAUCCAUAGCUGGUCUGAGAGGAUGAUCAGCCACACUGGGACUGAGACACGGCCCAGACUCCUACGGGAGGCAGCAGUGGGGAAUAUUGGACAAUGGGCGAAAGCCUGAUCCAGCAAUGCCGCGUGAGUGAUGAAGGCCUUAGGGUUGUAAAGCUCUUUUACCCGGGAUGAUAAUGACAGUACCGGGAGAAUAAGCGCCGGCUAACUCCGUG